CAAGUUAUCCCCAAGGGGGUUUAUUAUUUACAUUAAUAAAUGUAAUCGUGCAAUUCGAUUUAACUUGA
RNAcentral lists this transfer RNA (68 nucleotides) under Rhynocoris marginatus. RNAcentral's name for it is "tRNA-Val". Lineage: Eukaryota; Metazoa; Arthropoda; Insecta; Hemiptera; Reduviidae. The record is from RNAcentral.